GUCAUAGAACAAGUUUUGCUUCAGAAAUUGCUCUUUGCUAAGAAGCUAUUUUUUGUUUAUUGGGGAGAAUUUUUAUGGAAAACAAUCACUGUAAGGUACUUAACUGUUACCCAGAAAUCAUUUGAUAUUGAGAUACAAAUGUUUAUUAAAAAUGUUUAUUUAAUUUAGUUUAAUGAAACUAGAGAUUUAGCUGAGUAGUCUAAGCAAUUGAUUUCUUAUGUAUUUCAUCUCAGUGCUUGGGAAGUGAACUGUUUUGACUAAUCAAAAAUGUCCUUUUGAUACAAAGAUCCUGGUUAAAUGGGGGAGAUUUUGGAGAUUUCAGAUAAAUAAUAACAGAAGAGAAAGCUUCCAUUCCCGCUGAAAGGUGACUUCAAGCUGUGUGGCUCUUAGAUGUAAAAAAUGAAUACAAAAAAAUCUGCAAUUUCGGUGUGUUUGUUGAAAACACUUGCAGCCCACAUCUUGAAAUUAGAUUAAGUAAUCCAACAUGUAAUUGGCUAUUUUUAAGAAUGUAAUUGUAAUCUGAUUAGGGCCACACAUGUAAGUAAUCCGGGUUGAUUAGUUACUUAGAUUUCGUAAUCUGAUUACAUUAUAAUCCUUGUUACAUGUAAUCUGUUAUAGUGUCGCGUGGACGUCCUUCCAAGUCCUGUCUCGUUCACUCGACUAUUGAAAUUUUGGAAAACUUCAGAAUUGGAUUUGGCGUUUGAAUGGGAGUGCUGGCAUUCAGCAAUAAUGAACAUGUUUAGUUUUAGUGGAGAUCCCUCAAUAAUCAUUCUCACUAUAGCACAUUGGUAAUAGUCAGAGACAAAUAAACUGAGUGGACAAAACAUUAAGCACACCUUCCUAAUAUUGAGUUGAAUCUUCCGGCGCUCGUUUACAGUGAACACUGAGACUGUACCCUUACAGUUUUAGGCAUUAGACUAUUGUGGCCAUUUGAGCAUAGUGAAGGACUACCAACAAAACCAAUGGAGCAAAUCCCAUAACACUUUCACAUGGAAAUAGCUUUUGAUUUCUAUGAUAUAGCCUACAGUAGCCUAUGUGGCCUCCAUUGCAUGAGACUUUUACAUUAUGAAGUGCUUGACAUUAAUUAUUUUUUUACUUGACAAUGAGCCAAAUAAGUGUACUGUAAAUUGCAAAGUAAUGUGUUGUAUGAUGCAAGAAACCACUUUACAAAACAAAAUGAUUUAUUAUUACCAUAGAGAGAAUUAGACAAUGUAGGCUUCCUCUUUGCCUAUUGGCUUAUUUGCGUCUUCAAUCAUGUCUCAAAAUACAACACUGCCCCAUUAAGACAUAAGCUUUUUACCUGACUGGCUUUUCAAAGACAGCUUGAAAUGUAGCCUAAGCCUAAACGAUUUGUGCUUUGUAGGAAGCAGUAAUUCCCCAUUGCUGACCUAUACUUAUCUAUAACUGGGCUAAUAACUAGCAAAGAAUAUCAACAAAUUUGCACCAGCACAGCUCUGAUCUGAACUGAUUUGAAAAACACAUUCAACCCUGGGUGAUUGAAAGACCACUUGUGGGUUUACCCCCACUCCCUUUUGUGCUCUGGCUCUGCCUGUAACAAAAUCACAGACUCAAUCUUGCAAAGUUAGAUUUGUUUAGUUUUUUGCAUUGAAAAGGGGCUGAUAUAAUGUUGAUUCGAUCACAGAAAAAAAACGUUGAUCUAUAUAUAUAUAGUGCAAACUAAUGGAGCGAACUCAGUGAAGAUCAAUCUCUUGCGUCUCUGCGUGGCCUGGCAUUUCUUCAGCCCAGCAGUCCUGGACACAACCCCUGACCACAAUCACACAACUACUGACCACAACCAACUAACUACUGAUCACACAACUCCUGAACACUAGAGACUAUACCUACUGACCACAACUACUGAACACAACCAACCAACAACUGACCACACAACUGCUGACCACAACUACAACUGGGCUCCCGAGUAGUGCAGCAGUCUAAGGCACUGCAUCUCAGUGCUUGGUUCGAUUCCAGGCUGUAUCACAACCGGCCGUGAUUGGGAAUCCCAUAAGGCGCCGCAUAAUUGGCUCAGUGUCGUUAGGGUUUGGCCGGGGUAGGCCGUAAUUGUAAAUAUGAAUUUGUUCUGAUUUGCCUAUUUAAAUGAAGAUUAAAUACAAAUAACUACUGACCACAACACAACUAGGGACCAUAACUCCUGACCACAACCACACAACUACUGAACACAACUCCAACACUACUGACCAAGACUAAUGAACCAUACACCAUAACUACGAACCGCAACACUACUGAACACAGCCACAACCACACAGAUACUGACCAAAAUAACACAACUACAUACAAUAACUACUGACCACAAUCACACAUCUACUGCACAUAACCACACAACUACUGACCACAACUACAGACCAUAACUACUGACCACAACUACUGAUCACAACGAACCAACUACUGACCACAACAACACAACUAGAGACCAUAACUACUGACCAUAACUACUGAGCACAACUGCUGGAAAACAAGUAUUUGGUCAAUAACAAACGUUUAUCUCAAUACUUUGUUAUAUACCCUUUAUUGGCAAUGACAGAGGUCAAACGUUUUCUGUAAGUCUUCACAAGGUUUCCACACACUGUUGCUGGUAUUUUGGCCCAUUCCUCCAUGCAGAUCUCCUCUAGAGCAGUGAUGUUUUGGGGCUGUUGCUGGGCAACAUGGACUUUCAACUCCCUUCAAAGAUUUUCUAUGGGGUUGAGAUCUGGAGACUGGCUAGGCCACUCCAGGACCUUGAAAUGCUUCUUACGAAGCCACUCCUUCGUUGCCCGGGCGGUGUGUUUGGGAUCAUUGUCAUGCUGAAAGACCCAGCCACGUUUCAUCUUCAAUGCUCUUGCUGAUGGUAGGCUUUGUUACUUUGGUCCCAGCUCUCUGCAGGUCAUUCACUAGGUCCCCCCGUGUGGUUCUGGGAUUUUUGGUCACCGUUCUUGUGAUCAUUUUGACCCCACCGGGUGAGAUCUUGCGUGGAGCCCCAGAUCGAGGGAGAUUAUCAGUGGUCUUGUAUGUCUUCCAUUUCCUCAUAAUUGCUCCCACAGUUGAUUUAUUCAAACCAAGCUGCUUACCUAUUGCAGAUUCAGUCUUCCCAGCCCGGUGCAGGUCUACAAUUUUGUUUCUGGUGUCCUUUGACAACUCUUUGGUCUUGGCCAUAGUGGAGUUUGGGGUGUGACUGUUUGAGGUUGUGGACAUGUGUCUUUUAUACUGAUAACAAGUUCAAACAGGUGCCAUUAAUACAGGUAACGAGUGGAGGACAGGGGACCCUCUUAAAGAAGAAGUUACAGGUCUGUGAGCCAGAAAUCUUGCUUGUUUGUAGGUGACCAAAUACUUAUUUUCCACCAUAAUUUGAAAAUUCAUUAAAAAUCCUACAAUGUGAUUUUCUGGAUUUUCCCCCCUCAUUUUAUCUGUCAUAGUUGAAGUGUAACUAUGAUGAAAAUUACAGGCCUUUCUCAUCUUUUUAAGUGGGAGAACUUGCACAAUUGGUGGCUGACUAAAUACUUUUUUGCCCCACUGUAUAUCCAUCCUGCCCUGCCUUUCUAAAAUCUUUGAAAGCCAAGUUAACAAACAGAUCACCAACCAUUUCGAAACCCACUGUACCUUCUCCACUAUCCAAUCUGGUUUCCGAGCUGGUGCACCUCAGCCACGCUCAAGGUCCUAAAUUAUAUCAUAACCACCAUCGAUAAAAGACAGUACUGUGCAGCCGUCUUCAACGACCUGACCAAGGCUUUCGACUCUGUCAAUCACUGCAUUCUUAUCGGCAGACUCAAUAGCCUUGGAUUCUCAAAUGACUGCCUCGCCCCGUUCAUCAACUACUCCUCAGAUCGAGUUCAGUGUGUCAAAUCGGAGGGCCACAGGGUUCAAUUCUCUGGCCAACUCUUUUAUCUGUAUAUAUAUCAAUAUGUAUACAUGCUGCUGGUGAUUCUCUGAUCCACCUCUACACAGACGACACCAUUCUGUAUACAUCUGGCCCUUCUUUGGACACUGUGUUAACAAACCUCCAAACGAGCUUCAAUGCCAUACAACACUCCUUCCGUGGCCUACAACUGCUUUUAAAUGCUAGUAAAACUAAAUCCAUGCUCUUCAACCGAAUAUUGCCCGCACCCGCCUGCCCGACUAUCAUCACUAUUCUGGACGGUUCUGACUUAGAAUAUAUUGACAACUACAAAUACCUAGGUGUCUGGCUAGACUGUAAACUCUCCUUCCAGAUUCACAUUAAGCAUCUCCAAUUCAAAAUUAAAUCUAGAAUCGGCUUCCUAUUUUGCAACAAAGCCUCCUUUACUCAUGCUGCUAAACUUACCCUCGUAAAAAUGUCUAUCCUACCAAUCUUUGACUUUGGCAAUGUCAUUUACAAAAUAGCCUCCAACACUCUACUCAGCAAACUGGAUGUAGUCCAUCACAGUGCCAUCCGUUUUGUCACCAAAGCCCAAUAUACUACCCACCACUGCGACCUGCACGCUCUCGUUGGCUGGCCCUCACUACAUAUUCGUCGCCAAACCCACUGGCUCCAGGUCAUCUAAGUCUUUGCUAGGUAAAUCCCCGCCUUAUCUCAGCUCACUGGUCACCAUAGCAACACCCACCCGUAGCACACGCUCAAGCAGGUAUAUUUCACUGGUCAUCCCCAAAGCCAACACUUCCUUUGGCCGCCUUUCCUUCCAGUUCUCUGCUGCCAAUGACUGGAACAAAUUGCAAAAAUCACUGAAGCUGGAGUCUUAUAUGUCCCACUCGACCUUUAAGCAUCAGCUGUCGAAGCAUAUUCCCUGAUCACUGUGCCUGUACACAGCCAAUCUGUAAAUAGCACACCCAACUACCUCAUCCCCAUAUUGUUAUUUAUCCUCUUGCUCUUUUGCACCCCAGUAACUCUACUUGCACAUCAUCAUCUGCACAUCUAUCACUCCAGUGUUAAUGCUAAAUUGUAAUUAUUUCACCUCCAUGGCCUAUUUAUUGCCUUACCUCCCUACUCUUCUACAUUUGCACACACUGUACAUAGAUUUUUUUAUUGUGUUAUUGACUGUACGUUUGUUUAUGUGUAACUCUGUGUUGUUGUUUUUGUCGCACUGCUUUGUUUUAUCUUGACCAGGUCACAGUUGUAAAUGAGAACUUAUUCUCAACUGGUCUACUGUCACGUUCUGACCAUAGUUCAUAGUUUUAGUGUUGGUCAGGAUGUGAGCUGGGUGGGCAUUCUAUGUUGUGUGUCUAGUUUGUCUAUUUCUAUGUUUGGCCUGAUAUGGUUCUCAAUCAGAGGCAGGUGUUAGUCAUUGUCUCUGAUUGGGAACCAUAUUUAGGUAGCCUGUUUUGUGGGUGGUUGUUUCCUGUCUCUCCUGUGUUCUCUGCAUCAGAUAGGACUGUUUCGGUUUUGCCACGUUUAUUGUGUUCAUGGUUAGUUUCUCUGAUUAAAGAACAUGAACUCUAACCACGCUGCAUUUUGGUCCUCCUCUCCUUUGACGGAAGAAAGCCGUUACACCUACCUGGUUAAAUAAAGGUAAAAUUAAAAAUACAUGCAGCACUUUGGGGUGGGCACCCACCUGCCUGAGAUUAUCAUUGAGAGAUGAUUUGAAAUAGUUUCUCAGUGUGGAAGUACUCCCAGUACUUUGAUUUGGUAGAAGGACAAAAUGACAAGAAUAUAACUGUAAAAAGUGUAAACUGUGCCCAGGAGAGAAACACCUUUCCACUGCAAGAAACACAACUUCCAACCUCUUGAAGCACCUGCAAAAGCAUCACGCCAUGACAAAACUCAUAGCGAAAGACCCCCUAGGCCUGACCACUGCUGCUGAAGAGAAAUGUAGACAUACCUCCUCCAAACAACCCAGGCUUGAUUUUAAUCAUUCAGGAGGACAGGCUGUAACCCAGGGAGAGCUGAACAUGCUUGUAGCUGGCAGGGGGAACCAUCAGGCCCAGGCCAAAUACAGCCUAUGGCACAACAAAGAUUGGAGUGACUGUGCUGUCCAGGAUUUAGGCUGAGACCUGGGCAGCUGAUGGAAUGCCCGCUGCCCUGGCUGGGUCUGCACCGACAUGGCAGGCCCCUAGUCCACCAAGAGCCCUAAGGAGCUCUUAGGCACUUCUUUCUGAGUGGGCCAAGGAGCCACAUGGACAGUUGGUGUGGGAAAAGACAUUUACAUUUAAGUCAUUUAGCAGACGCUCUUAUCCAGAGCGACUUACAAAUUGGUGCAUUCACCUUAUGACCGUUCAGGAAUGGUAGAUGGGAGACAGCAGGAAGUUUACCUUAUCUCAGAAACUUGAGGUAAAUUGUGGGCCCCCCCACCAAAAAAAAUACAAUAAUAAAAAAUAUAUAUUUUUAGAGGAACUCAGUCUGGCUUUAAACUUACUCUUGAAUGUUUGAAUAGUAGAGUGCACAAGGUUCAUUUUCGAAACUGUAUCAUCAGUUCCUCUUGUCAUGUCAGUCAUUGCAUACCUUAAAGAGCUAUUUAUAACUUGUCAGAAAUGUCCAGAUCAACUAGCCCAUGUCAGCUAAUGGUUUUUUAUUUAGGUUUUUCAGCCCAUAGAUAUUGUUGUAAUUUUUUGGUCACUCAAAUAUUACAUGAACACACAUUAGACAUGGCAAAAUGUAUAGAAUUGCAAGAAAAUUUGCUUUAAAACGGCUAAAUGUUAUUUUCACCCCAUGACAAAAUGUGUAGAAUUGCAAUAAAUAAGCGUUAAACUUGCAAACACGUUCUCCACCAACAAGAGGGGUGUGAACAGUGUGUCAUGAACAGUGCUUGUGCCCGCAGAAAUAGACGAGUCACACACGCGGGGGAGGGGAUCUUCCCCAAUGCUGGGAACCCCUGAUCUCCAUGAAGGCAGCUGACAGUUUUUGCACUCUAUCAGAAAGUAGGCUGGCCUUCUUUGACGUCGCAUAGGUUAAAAAAAAAUGUUUUAAAAGCAUUCUGUUUUGCAAAAACUCCCGCAUUACCUAUUGCCAUUACUAACCUUUAGAUGUACGAGAUAACAUACCAGGUCACAGGGCUGGCGAACUUUGAAAUUCCUUCUGUCACUACAGAUUUAAGUAAAACAGCUUUUAGUUUCUUCGCAUCUCACUUAUGUAACAAUCUACAGAAUACCCCACAGUUGGAUGCAUUGGUGCUUUUCGUGCAGUUCAGAGAGUUGGUAGAGCACGUCUUCGCUGAGGAAUGUAGAUGUUUUUUUUAUGAUUGUGUUUUUCGUUGUUUUUUUUCGUUGUGUGUUUCAUAUGCUCCUGCCUUUGACCGUAACUUUUAUUGUGUAAUUGCUUGGACUUGUCAUGCAGGGCUUCCUUGAAAAAAUAUAUUGAUCUCAAUGGGACUCCCCUGUCUAAAUUAUUAAAAAGAUGUAUAAAUAUAUGUUGAUAUAUAAAAUGUCUGAGACAGUGAUUUACUGUGAAACCUUGUUCACAACACUGUAACUGUUUAUUGAGUCAAGCCCCUAGAGGGCACUAAAGACCAGACACGGGCCGAGAAAGCCUGAGAUAAUAUUGUCUCAAAAGGCAGCCUUUAUUUUGUACAGCCAUGCUUCAAAAUACAGUUUACUUGUAGAUUAACUUUAGAUGAAUUGAACAUGUUGUGGACACCUGGGUGUCUCGUUAUUUGCCAUGUGUUCACCCCUGAAGAUGAGAACCCUUUCAUUCAAGCUACUUUAUCUUCCUCCCCCUUAUUCACUUGUAGGUGUCUGCAAGCACAAAGACUCUCACAUGCACUUAACCUUGAGUGAGAGCCAACCAGCACUAUCAGGUCGACCUGACAUACCAUCAGAGAGUGUCAGUCAAGCAGCCUGUUAACUUAUUUAUAGUUAAAGGCACACAGCAUCUACAAAUUAUGUCAACUGUUGGUCAAGUAGGCUUAAUCAUCAUUUGUUUAUUUUUGUAUUUUAUAUUCCAUUACCUUCUUGAGACUUGAUGAAGGGGUGUGAUGAAGAUGCAUUCCUUUAAAAGAUGAACGGCAACUAAUAAGAGGGAGUUCAUGCUAUUGUACAUUCAGUAUUUUGAGUAACAGACCCAAACUAAUCCCGUCUCCUUCCUCUAUACUUCCUGAGGAAGUGCCCCAGGGAGCAUACAGUGCA
Molecule: long non-coding RNA, 8025 nt
Organism: Oncorhynchus keta (chum salmon)
Lineage: Eukaryota; Metazoa; Chordata; Actinopteri; Salmoniformes; Salmonidae
Exons: 3
Source: RefSeq, a predicted model, not a curated record